This 17082-nucleotide long non-coding RNA is filed under the name Medicago truncatula (barrel medic). Its description in RNAcentral is "long non-coding RNA (MTRU_LNC005937)". Lineage: Eukaryota; Viridiplantae; Streptophyta; Magnoliopsida; Fabales; Fabaceae. The record is from RNAcentral.
UUUUUAUUUCAUAUGCUUGGGCCUAUAUUAUAUGGUCAGACUGUAUUAUAUUUGGAUCUUCUUACAGGUAAGCUGAAUUUUAUAAAAUUUGAAUCAUCAAGAAGGUAACGUUUUCCAUAGGACAAACAUGAGUUACUAUAAUUUAGACAUUAUCAAUCCUUUGUUUUUUUCGGAUAAUUUUUUUAUAAAUUCUUCUUAUAUCACAUAUUAUAUUUUUUACAUUUCCCUCCCUCUCUACCUCCCUAUAAAUAGCUUGCCAAUUCCAUCGUUCCCUCAUACCAAGUUCAAUAAUCAAUAAUCAUCAUCCAAUAAUAAGAUGAAGAUUAUUCACAUAGUUUUUCUUUUCUCUUUUCUUUCAUUCACUACUUCCCAAGCUUCUGUCAAUGAUUUUUGUGUAGCAGAUUUAAAGGCUCCAGAUACCCCUUCAGGCUAUCACUGCAAACCCCUAGCAAAUAUCACAUCAGACGAUUUUGUCUUUCAUGGCUUCAAAGCUGGAAACACCAACAACUCUUUCAACGCUGCACUUACCUCCGCAUUCGUCACUGAUUUUCCAGGCCUUAAUGGACUAGGAAUCUCAGCAGCGCGGUUAGACAUAGCGGAAAAUGGUUCAAUUCCAAUGCAUACUCAUCCUGGUGCUACCGAAUUAUUGAUAAUAGUUCAAGGUGAAAUAACCGCUGGAUUUCUGACACCUACCGCAGUUUAUUCUAAGACGUUGAAACCGGGUGAUCUUAUGGUUUUUCCACAAGGGAUGUUGCAUUUUCAAAUUAACACUGGUAAGGGAAAAGCAACUGCUUUUCUUACUUUUAGUAGUGCUAACCCUGGUGCUCAAUUACUUGAUCUUCUUUUGUUUUCGAAUAAUUUACCUUCUCAAUUGGUGGCACAAACUACUUUCCUUGAUCUUGCACAAGUGCAGAAGCUAAAGGCACGUUUUGGUGGAAGAGGGUAGGGAUAUGAUAUUGUUUGGUCAUGAUCAUAACCCACUCUCCUUGUGUAAAUGUUUAUUCCAAUAAUCACCUAGUGGUGGAUUUGAUUGUGUGUCUGUGUUAUUUUAUUUUAUUCUAUGUUUUAGCUAUUCCAAAUGUUAUGAUAUAUGGUUACUUGUGAUAAUGAAGUAAUAAAUUGUGUGUGAUACAUUUCUUGGUUCCUCUUUCUAUCUCUCAACCUGUCUCCUAAUUUUUUUGUUGAAUUAUGGCAACAUUUAAAAUUGAAUUGAAGAUUGAAUGAGCACGACCUGGAGAUUAUGAUUUAAUUAGCUCAAUCACUUGAAUCACAAUUGAACUAAAUGAUUAAUCUAUAAAUAAAAAAAGUAAUUGCAAAAACAAAUCUUAUUAAAUUAUUACGAUUCAAUCGGUUCAACCUUAUUCAAAAUGACUUCGAUGCGACUAUGAUUUCUAACCCAUUUUAUUUUAGAUUUAACUAGUUGAACUAAUAAUUUAAUAGAAUAUGCAACUUAGACUUAUUUACCAUUUUUGGGUGUUAGAAGUUAGAAAAUUUUACAUGAUGUGGAUAACAUCACAAUACAAUUCAAAGUAGUGGGCUAUAAUUUAUGAGAAAUGAUAUUUGAACAAUAAUUUUUAACAACUUUUGUGACAACUUUAUCUCUCAUACUCACAUUAAUUUUUUACUCUCUCUCUAUUGCUUUGGUUUUUGUGUCACUAUCUCAUUUCUUUUGCAAAAUUUUGAUUGUCACAAAAGUUGUCACAUGUAUGGAUGUUCAUAUAACACAACUCAUAAUUUAUUCAUUAAAACCUUACUUAUAUAUCAACAAGCAAAACUAGGCGUAAGACGAUUGAGUCAGCCUCUACUUGGUAGUUGGUUCUAAUCUCAUUGCCAUUGCUUCGGUGCAUCAACCUCGAGAGUGUGGAAACGGUAAAUUGGUUUGCGAGUACUGAUUCGCGGUAUUUUAAUGAAUUUGUUUGCGCAAAAUCGUGAGCAAUUCAUAGCAAAGUGCGUACGUGACAGAAGUAUAAAACAAAUCAAACAAGUUUAAUUCAAAUUUCACAUAUUGUAUGUCAAACACAAUAAAUAUCUGACCAACUUGAUAGAAGAGCUCAUCUGCCAUGAACAUGCAGCAACCAUUAGUGCAAACUGUAAAAUUAGGUCAUAGAAAAUUCAAGGCUAAAAUAUGGUUUUAGUCCCUGCAAAUAUGUCUCGUUUUGGUUUUAGUCUCUGUAAAAAGAAAAUUUUGUUUUUGGUCCCUGCUAAAUAAUUUGUUUUUGAAAAUAGUCCCUAGCCCCACUUUUGUGAUGAUUUGCAUACGUGUUACAUUAUAACUGAACCAAUUUUGUAGUUUUUGGUCCCUGCAAAAUAUUUUGUUUUUAAAAAAGGUCCUUGAAUUUUUUUUUUGUUUUUGAAAUUUUUUGCAGGGACCAAAAACAAAAAAUUUUGUUUACAGGGACUAAAACCAAAACGAGGCAUAUUUGCAGGGGCUAAAACCAUAUUUUAGCCAAAAUUCAAAUGCAUAGUAGUGUGUACCACUACCAACCUGGAUGUUGUGCAGGGGCAGCUAAGAAGCUUAUAGUAAAAUGGUCAUAUAGAGAUUAAGGUUCUUGUAUAUGCAAAAACAAUGAUUAUAAAGAGUCAUAUAUUAUAUAUAGGCUUAAAUAAGUAAAAGGUCUCUGUAAGUUGGCGCAUUUUUGGUUUUAGUCCCUGUAAGUUUUUUUGUUGCGAGACAAACCCUGUAUUUACCAAACGUUUUGGAUCUAGUCCCUGCCGUCCAAUUCCGUGAAAAAAUGAUGACCUUGCUAACGGAGCAAUACGUGGCACUUCGUGAGUUGGCACUAGUUGAUGACUGGGGUUAAUAUAGGGACUAAAACCAAAAAUGCAAUUUAACAUAGGGACUAAUUUAAAAAAACGUAAUCAUCAAUUUUUAAAUUUUAAAAACCAGUCUUUCCUUCUUCUUCCUCUCUCUGUUCUUUCCUUCUUCUUCCUCUAUUUGUUAGUUCUUUAAUUGCUUGUGCCCAAAAACUCAAACCUCAUUUCCUUCAACGAUGUCUUCUCAUUCCAUUUCUCAUUCAUCAUCAAAUGAGUUGCCUAUAAGUGCCAAUUACUUCUUUAAGUUCUGCUUCAUUUGUUCCUCCUUGAGUCUCCAAAAGCAAAUCAGUGAUAAUUACUUCCAUUUGUUUCCCCUCGCGCACCUUAAUCUUAGCCCAUCCAACCAAGUUUGUGUCACCAAAAUCCUCCUUAUCACCAGGCCUUUUCCCAUUAAGAAGUUCCAUCAUUACAACACCAAAUGAAUAAACAUCACCCUUUGCAGUGCACCUGAAACUUUGGUAAUACUUUGGUGGAACAUAUCCAGGUGUUCCUGCUAGUGUGCUUACACUGAGAUGUGUAUCAAGUGCACUUAUUAGUCUUGCCAUUCCGAAAUCCAAGACUCUUGACUCCAUUUCAUUGUCAAGUAAUACAUUGCUUGACUUCAUGUCUUUGUGUAUGAUGUGAGGGAUGCAAUUAUGAUGCAGAAAACAAAGUCCUUUAGCAGCACCUCUUGCAAUCUUCUUCCUUUCUUCCCAUGUUAAAAUUCGUCGAUCACAUGUCUUUAUUCUUCUGUGGAGCAUCUCUUCUAGGCUUCCAUAUUCCAUGUAUUCAUAAACAAGUAGCCUCUCUUCUCCUACUUUGCAGUAUCCCAAUAAAGGGACAAGGUUUUUAUACUUGAUUUUUUCUAAGGUUUCCAUCUUAGCCAUGAAUUCUCUAUCACCUUGGCAACUCAGUCGAAUGAGCUUCUUUAUCGCGACACAUGUUCCGUCUUUGAGUGUGGCCUUAAACACUUCACCAAAACCACCACAACCAAUGAGGCUUGCUGCUGAGAAGCCAUUGGUUGCUUCAAUCAACUGUGAGAAUUUAAGCUUUCUCAAUUACCUCUGAAAUGUUGCAAUAUUAAUGCAUAAUGGCUCUUUCUCUUUAUCAAUUUUCCAUGUUGUAGCAGCAUGACAUGCGAAUUGGAGAUGAACAUCCUCAUAAUUUUUCUACAACCACAUAUUGACAACUCAUUUGAUGAUGAUUGACAAAUGGAAUGAGAAUACAUUGUUCCAUGAAAUGAGUUUUUGGUGUUAGGGCGCAAAGCUAUCGAAGGGUGGGAAUGGCAGAAAUGAAGAAGAGAGAAAUAACAUAGUGAGGAAGAAGGUGGAAAUAAUAAGUUUUAAAAUUCAAAUUUUGAUGAUUAUGUUUUUUAUUUUCAUCCCUAUGUAAAUUUGCAUUUUUGGUUUUAGUCUCUCUAAUAACCAAUUGCCAACUCAUCAUAUGCCACAUAUUAGUCCGUUAGCCAGCGAAGCGUUUUUUUGACGGAAACGGACGGCGGGGACGAAUGUCAAAAUGUUAAGUAAAUACAGGGGUUGUUUCGCAACAAAAAAAGAUACAGGAACUAAAACAAAAAAUGCGCGAACUUACAGGGACCUUUUUCUUAUUUAAGCCUUAUAUAUAUAUUGUUCAUCUUCAAAAUGUCACGACGACAACGUAAAUUAAUGCGGCACUGCAAAAAUAAUAUCACUAAACACAAACUGAAACAAAUUUCUAGGGAGAUAUUCCUGAUGGCAGUUGCAUCGUUCAAGACAGAAGUAAUUGUUCUUUAACUUAUUUUCUAAAUACGCAUACAAUUGUAAAACACAGUCAAAUUUUAUUGAGUGAAAUUAUGGUUGGAACGUGAUGGAGAUUUCCAUUCCUCCAAUUCUCUUCGUACACCUCUCUUGUUGUACCCAAUUUCUUCGAAGGCCUUUAGGGAUGGUGCUGUUCGUUCAACGGUGUUACUGCCAAUACAAAAGAUUAACAGUGUUCAAUAAAAUCCUAUAUGUUAGGAAACAAAGUGCUGAAGAAGAAAAAUAAGCACAAUCACAAUAUAAGAAUAUAAUGUUAGGAAACAUGGUAUCCAUGAAAAGAAGGAGAGAAAACUAAGAAACUCUUUCUAUUGAUGAAAAUGGAAUAUUACAAAAUGAGAAAAGUACCCUCUAAUGGGGUGGUUACAAGUUAUUUAUACUACUCUCUACUAGGACUAAUAUGCUACUAAUCUAUAUCUCUAAUAGUCCCCCUCAAGUUGGAAGGUGUUCAAAACACUUCCAACUUGAAAUGAGAAAAUACAAGGAAAGAUGCCAGAAAUACAUUGGCCAAGAACAUAGCAACAAUCAAAGGCUUAUCCAACAAGAGGAAACCACAACUCAAGGUGUAAUCACCUUGGAGGAAGAAGCAGCAAACCAACGCUUAACCACCAUCCGGUAGAAGCCAAUCAUCAACAAAGCCUUAAAAGGCACAAUGCUUAACCAUCAAGAGUUCUCAAUAACUCAAGACAGAAGCACAAGAAGAAGAAGAAAAUGACGCUUAACCAUCCUUGGACAGAAGCACAACGACGCUUAACCAUUCAUGACAGAAGCUUAUCAACAUAGCUUAACCAUCAUGAACAGAAGCACAAGACAAGAAGAGUAAGGAUAUCUAAAAUCAAUGAUGAUCUCCAAAAGAAAAAGUGCAAGGAAGGGCCAAAGUUUACAAUGGAAGGAGGUCAUAUGUUGAACAAACUGCACAUCAAAGGUACCAUGAAGCAACAAGACCAAGGUUCCAAAGUUAAAAAAGAGAUGCGCUCCAAUGCCGAGCCGAGACAAGAAAAACCAAAUGCAAGCCAAUAGAGAUGCAUAGCCAUGUGAGGUGUCUUCAAACCAUAGAAAACAAAUCCAUGUUGAUGCAUUCAAACCAUAGGCCAACAAAUCAAUACUUCCAACAAUGAAGCUUAAGAAAAUACCAACAUAGCCAAAACCAGAAAAAAAAAAAUGCAGCAGUAAUGCUGCACAAAAUAAAACCAAAAUGCAGCUAAGAGACAUCAAAAUGAACUCAAGAAGAUGCUUUAACGGUCUGCCCAAAAAUUCAUCAACGAUCCAGGAACAAUCCCAUGCUUCAGAUAUCAAACCAAGGCUUCCAAAAACGAUCCUAAGCCAUCAAGAAAUAAAUCCAUAGCCAAUGAACAAAAUGCAGUAGCAAUAUGAAGCACUGUACUGUGUUGGAAUAGCAUGCAACACUAACAAAAUGCCUAAUCAGCCUCACAAUUUCAUUUGUUCCUUUCACACACAAGAAUAUAGAGAAACCAUCUGAACAGCUUGGAGUGUACUAAAGGCUUCUUCAAUUACUAUUCAAAAAAUGCUUGACCAUAUCAGAUCCAACACCAUGAUAAGCAAUCAAAUGCCAAACAAAACUUAGCCCACCAGUAUGCAAUAUCUAUAAGACUACCAAGUGUGAUAGCAACACCAUAAAAGAAACAAAGAAGUAUGCCAAAACCAAUGAUAUCCAAAGAGAAUGUAGAACAAACAACCAAGCUGUAAUUGGAUCCCAAAGAAUGCAUCAAAAAAACUAUACGUGAAAGGAAGAUCCUUACAUAACACUGCAACAACAUAGCCAUACACAUAAGUCUGGGUCCGCCAAUCUUCAAUCAUAAUAUAAGAGUACCUUAACAUGAACUGCUCCAAAAAUGUAGUAGUGAUGAAGAGGUUCACAAGAAAAUGCACGCAUAGACCAAUAACGUCAUGCAGCAGUCAACAACAGCACCUCAAAGCAAGUCCAAUGCAAUGUUGGAUCAGAACAAAUUGCAGUGUUACCAACAACCAUCACCAUCAAACUGAACGUAAUAUGCAAUAAGGACCAAAAAACACCAAAAUAUCAAGGUAAUAGAAUCCAACUCUAUCUGCACCACAUGCACAAUUGUAUACAACCAGAGAAAAUGAACUAAUUGCAGCCUUGUCUAAAUAGCAGAACAUAGAACUUCAUCAAAAGAAUCAUGAACCAAGAAUCAAUAUGUUUGCAGUGAGGACUUGCUACAAACAUCUUGUGAGCACAAUAGUCAUAAACUGCAGUUACAAUAAAACUCGCUUAUGAGAAACCGAAUUCUCAAUACAAUACAAUAAUGAAACAGGGAAGAAGAUGAAAUAUCAACGACACAUAGAAUCAAUGCGAAAAAGACGACUCUGAGCCGAAUCGAAAAUUUUAAUGAAGAGGAAUCGCAAAAAAAAAUAAAAUUGAAUCACGGAUUCGAAUCGAAACUGGAAAUUGCGAUCGAGUAAGAAUUCGAUCAAGACUUUUGAAUCACGUGGGAAAUUGAACCAAAACUAACAGAACAAAGAAGAACGAACAAAGAAAAUUGAUCGAGAGAGAAAAGGAAAUCGCCAUUGUAACUGAAUCGCAAACCCUAAGAUUUGGGAAAAAGACACAAACGGAAUCACGAAGCAAUCGAUCGAACAAAAAGAUGUAAAAGAAUCGAAUGAAAUUGAGAUGCAGAUCAAAAGAGAAAUCGAUCGAACAAAUCAAUAACAGAAAAACGAUUCGAGUACAAGACAAAGGAAAAUGAAGAAAAUGAAGUGAUAAAAGAGAAAAAUCAGAACGAAGAAGAAAAGGAAAACAACACGAGAAAAAUGAACUUUUCUCGAGAAAAUGCAGCGGAAAAAUUGUUCAAGGUGGAUACCAAUCAUGCUCUGAUACCAUGUUAGGAAACAUGGUAUCCAUGGAAAGAAGGAGAGAAAACUAAGAAACUCUUUCUAUUGAUGAAAAUGGAAUAUUACAAAAUGAGAAAAGUACCCUCUAAUGGGGUGGUUACAAGUUAUUUAUACUACUCUCUACUAGGACUAAUAUGCUAAUAAUCUAUAUCUCUAAUAUAUAACGUGGAAACUUUAAAACUGGAUAAAAAACCACGACCGUUGUCUAAACCGACAACCAGAAAAUGAUUACUAUGGGAUUUUUUUUACAACACAUAGACUUCUCUCACUCUCACCCCAAUGCUCCAGUACAAUCAUACUCUCACAAAGCAAAUAUUUAAACUAAGUCAGAUAUAAGCUUAAAGUGCUACUGACUGGUGCAUCUACAAACAAAGAACCUAGGUCCAAUAUAUAGUCAUGGUCCUCCCAUUGCUUCACCACACUAAGCGAUGUAGGACUUUUCCAAUAGCAAAUAUUUUUUAACCUCCUUAUUUAUUUAAGAAACUUGACAAUCAAACCCAACAAUCUCCACCUUGAUUGUACGAGUUUCAUCUUUCGCUUCCAUUGUUUAUACUGACAAUCAUACUCCACCAUAAAGAGUAUACUUCACUUGAAACUAGACCUUUCCAAGAAUUUCUCCACGUCAAAACCUUGCUGAAAGAUUACGGUGCAACUCCCAUGUUGGAUUUCAGGAAGUUCUUCAGCCAUCGACACAUCUCACCACACACCUUGCAUUAAUUAAUUUCUUAAACAAUUUAUAAUUAAUUUGUAUCUCGUUUAAAGACUACAAAAUUUCAUUGUGAAGGUUCUUAUCAUGUUCUAGUCAUGCCUACAAAAUUAGGGAACUAAAUUUGACUUGUGAGUAUACGCUUACGCGGAACAAAAUUUCAAUUUUGCAUGUUUUGAUUGAAAAAUCAAAAUAAAUUUAAACGACUUCGAAAUGCAAUGAAACUUUACAGAUCCGUUUUAUGUAUUUUUUUAUAGAUGUCUAUGCAAAUAAUGAGCUCAAAAUUCGAUUUAUAGGUCGAGAUUUCCAUUGUUUUGUUUUUUGAGCUUUUGACACUUUAAAAAUUCAUAAUUAAUUUGUCGUAUGUCGAAAAUUUAUAUAUUUUUAGUGUAAAGCCAUAUUUUAACAUUCUUAACUCGCCUCUAACAAAUCAUGAAAAAAAUUGAAUCUCUCGGUUUCUUUUUUGGACUUCGCAUAUAUUACAGAGUUAUAAAUAAUAAAAAUCUUGAGUUACAUGGUAAGAAUACAUGUUAUUUAAUUACAGGGCCAAUUUUCAGACUUCACGUAUAUUAUAUGAUCAAUUUCAAUUAAUAAUCUUAUUUUAAAUUGUACUUUUGUUGACUAAAUGAUAAAACCUAUUUUAUUUCGAUUUUUUUAAUUAAAAUUAAAAUUAAAAAAAAAGUUUCAAUUUAUGAUUGUUGAUAUAUUAUGUCGCAUGUGAAUUUGCGAUAAAUUUUUUGCCCAAUCUCCAUAAAUUUCCAGACUCCGCCACUGUAUAGUACCUACUCAAAGAAUACUUGUUAUCAUCCCUAAUUGUGCGCUAACACUCCUCAAUUCAAAAUGACAUAAUAGCAUGCUUGUUGAGGAAAAAUUAUUGCCUUUAUUAUAACAAAAUUAGUUAAUUUUUUUUUUGAGGAAAACUGAAUUAGUUAGUGAAAAUUAAGUAAAAGACUAUGAAGAUAAUUUAAAUUUAUACAAAUCGUCACUUGACCAAUCUUAUUGCAAUAAAUUAAUAAAACGUCAUUUCAAAAAGAUUUGUGGCUGAUCCUUAAAAAAUAAAAUCAUUCCGUGACAAUUUUUUUUAUUCUUUUUCAAAUCUUUACUCUAAAUCUUCAUCUGUCACACACAACUAACUCAAACAUCCAUAGACGUGCAAUCAAUCUCAAUGAAAGAUUAGACUACAGGGUCUUUUAUUAAUACUCUUUGUGUACACAAAUUGAAUUCACUUAAAUGUUGUUUAAAAUUCUAAUUUUAGAGUUUACAUGAAAUGAAAGAACAUAUGUUGACUCACUUAUUGUAACCUUACAUGAAAUAAGACAACAUAUAUGUAUGCAUUGUUUUAAAAACAUUGAAGAUAAACUGAAUUUACGUAGGGUAUAUAAACUGAGUUUGCAAAUUAUACAACUCUACGUAAAUUAAGAUAGAGAAUGGAGAGAGAAAAAGGAAGAUAGAGAAUAAGAAGAUAAUGUGAGUAUGAGAGAGAAAGUUGUUAAAAUGUUUUUUUAAAGAAAAAAGUUGUUAAAAUGUUGUCACAAAGUGGAUGUACAAAUAUCAUUUCUCUAUAUAAAAUAUACAAAAUAUAUGGAGGAUUAUUGAUAAAAAAAAACAUGGGGAUUAAUUAUUGCUAAGAAUAAAUUAUUUUGAAAUACUCCCCUAUUUUUUUUUUUAAAUUCUCUUGACCAAAUUUUUCUUUUUUUAAAAUUCAUUGAAAUAAACCAAAAACAAAUACUCCAUUUCUAACAAAAAUAUAGACAUAAAGAGGAUCAAAGCGUCAAAUAGUCUUGCCCUCAAUUUUUUUUACUUUUAGAACAUCUUUUGUUUAUGUUUUCGUUACAAAGAGUAUGCAAAAUUAGACUGACUUAUUUUAAUUCAUUUAUAUAUAAUAUAUGGUAGUAUUUGUGAUAAUGUUUGUUAGAACCUAUGAAAAUAAUUUAUAACAUCUAAGUUUAGUUCCAUAAUUUUACAGAAUAGUUUAUAGAAACAACUUAAAAAUAUAUUAAAUAUAAAUGUUUUUUUUUUGUUUUAAAAAAGUAUAUAGAAAUAUUUAUAUUGAUAAGCUUAUAAUAUAUAUAUAUUAUGAAGUAAAAACAUCCUUUGUAUAUUAUAAACGAUUAAUUAUUUUGUUUAUUCAAAUAUGACCUCCUAUAUUAUUUUUUUUUUUGUUGGAAAGACGUCUAAAAACUAAUCAUUUUUGGUGGUGGUCGGGGUUCAACCCAGUAUAUAUUAUGCAUUGUUCCUACCCACUGAGCUAAGCUCAUGAUGACCCAAAAACCAAUCAUUGAUACACGAUAUAUAUAUAUAUAUAUAUAUAUAUAUAUAUAUAUAUUGACAAAAAUAAAUGAUAUGCAUUCAUUCAAAUUGAUAGAGUUCAUCGAUACAAUACUAAUUCGAUAAAAAGAAAAAGAAUGAAUUUGCGAACAAACUCAUAACAUCCAUGUUAAUAUCAUAAAACAACAAAGUACAAAAACAUACUUAUAUGACUAUAUUCAAGUAUCCGGAAUACCCAUGUCUCUAGAUCUGCAACGUGGACGACGCAAAGUCAUAGAUUGAAUCUGCACUGGUCGAAGCGGAUAUGACAAUCUAAACCGAACAAAUACCUGCAUGAAACAAAUAAGACAAACAAUGUUGCACAAAGACGACGAACAAACCAAUGUCGCACUAUGACGGCGAAAUCACAAAAUAAAAAACAAAAUAGAUGUGAAAAUCACUUAUUUCAAUUAAAAGAAAAUAAAAAAGCGAGUUAGAUGGGUGAUUUAGGGUUAAAAACUGACUCUAAAACACCUCUACUUGAUAGAUGAGGGAGAAGAAACUAGAGUUUUGGUGACGGCUCACAAGAAAGAAAAAGAAAAGAGAAAUUUAUAUAACGAUAUAGGUAUCUCUAAGUAAAUUUGUUAAAAAAAAAAAGUGUCACUAAGUAAAACAUAGAUAAAAUAAAGAGAACCAAUAUGGAAAUAUAUAAAAAAAUGCAAACAAAUAGAAGACUAUAGAUAUGUUAAAUAAAUUUUUAGUUAUAAUUUAUUAAAUAAAAAUUUUAUUAAUUUAAUUUGUCAAAAAUAAAACCUUAUUAAUUUAAAUUGACUAAAAAAUGAGUGAUAAUGUGUCAACAAAAUUCACUAGAAUCCCUAGUCGUCACCCAUUUCUUCUUCUUGUCUAUUGAAGAUGAAUGAUUUAGGGUCAAUUCUAACCUAAAAUCACCCAUCCGAAUUGUUUUUCUUUCUUUUCUAGUUGAAUAAGUGAUUUCCAUAUAUUUUUUUAUUGUUCUUUCGUUUGUUUUUGUGAUUUCAUCGUCUUUGCAUGACUCUGUUUAUUUUGAUUUUCCAUCUUAAUGUCGUGUUUAUUUGAUUGAGGUUGAAAUAUUAGCUUUGAUUAGGUGCAAAUCCGAAGACAUGAGUAUUCCAGAGAUUUGAAUAUAGUCAGGUUUGUAGGCAUAAAUACUUUGCAGUUUUAUGUUAACAUGAAUGUUGUGAUUUAUCCUUUUUGUUUUUAGAGACUUUAAAUUUAUAUUAUAUCGAUAUACUCUAUAAAUUAAAAUGAAUGAAUAUCGUUUAUUUUUUUUAAAAAAAGUCAGCAGAAUUAAAAUACUAUGAUUUGCUAAUUUGCUCAUUCACCUAUAUUGUUUAGUUGGUUUAUAUUAGUAAGUUGGAAUAUAUUAUUAUCCAUGAGAUCAUAUGGUUUACGUACUGAUUUAUCUUAUAUUAUUUUUUUUGAAAUAAUUUACAUUAUAUUACUAAAAAAAUGGAAUCGUAUUGGUGGCAUAUGAACUGGGACCGUCAUUGCUGUAUUAUCAUUGCUAUAUGUAGUUUUUAUUUCAUAUGCUUGGGCCUAUAUUAUAUGGUCAGACUGUAUUAUAUUUGGAUCUUCUUACAGGUAAGCUGACUUUUAUAAAAUUUGAAUCAUUAAGAAGGUAACGUUUUCCAUAGGACAAACAUGAGUUACUAUAAUUAGACAUUAUCAUUCCUUUGUUUUUUUCGGAUAAUUUUUUAUAAAUUCUUCUUAUUUCACAUAUAAUAUUUUUUACAUUUCCCUCCCUCUCUACCUCCCUAUAAAUAGCUUGCCAAUUCCAUCGUUUCCUCAUACCAAGUUCAAUAAUCAAAAAUCAUCAUCCAAUAAUAAGAUGAAGAUUAUUCACAUAGUUUUUCUUUUCUUUUUUCUUUCAUUCACUACUUCCCAAGCUUCUGUCAAUGAUUUUUGUGUAGCAGAUUUAAAGGCUCCAGAUACCCCUUCAGGCUAUCAGUGCAAACCCCUAGCAAAUAUCACAUCAGACGAUUUUGUCUUUCAUGGCUUCGUAGCCGGAAACACCAACAACUCUUUCAACGCUGCACUUACCUCCGCAUUCGUCACUGAAUUUCCAGGCCUUAACGGACUAGGAAUCUCAGCAGCGCGGUUAGACAUAGCCGAAAAUGGUUCAAUUCCAAUGCAUACUCAUCCCGGUGCUACCGAAUUAUUGAUAAUAGUUCAAGGUGAAAUAACCGCUGGAUUUCUGACACCUACCUCAGUUUAUUCUAAGACGUUGAAACCGGGUGAUCUUAUGGUUUUUCCACAGGGGAUGUUGCAUUUUCAAAUUAACACUGGUAAGGGAAAAGCUACUGCUUUUCUUACAUUUAGUAGUGCUAACCCUGGUGCUCAAUUACUUGAUCUUCUUUUGUUUUCGAAUAAUUUACCUUCUGAAUUGGUGGCACAAACUACUUUCCUUGAUCUUGCACAAGUGCAGAAGCUAAAGGCACGUUUUGGUGGAAGAGGGUAGGGAUAUGAUAUUGUUUGGUCAUGAUCAUAACCCACUCUCCUUGUGUAAAUGUUUAUUCCAAUAAUCACCUAGUGGUGGAUUUGAUUGUGUGUGUGUGUUAUUUUAUUUUAUUCUAUGUUUUAGCUAUUCCAAAUGUUAUGAUAUAUGGUUACUUGUGAUAAUGAAGUAAUAAAUUGUGUGUGAUACAUUUCUUGGUUCCUCUUUCUAUCUCUCAACCUGUCUCCUAAUUUUUUGUUGAAUUAUGGCAACAUUUAAAAUUGAAUUGAAGAUUGAAUGAGCACGACCUGGAGAUUAUGAUUUAAUUAGGUCAAUCACUUGAAUCACAAUUGAACUAAAUGAUUAAUCUAUAAAUAAAAAAAGUAAUUGCAAAAACAAAUCUUAUUAAAUUAUUACGAUUCAAUUGGUUCAACCUUAUUCAAAAUGACUUCGAUGCGACUAUGAUUUCUAACCCAUUUUAUUUUAGAUUUAACUAGUUGAACUAAUAAUUCAAUAGACUAUGCAACUUAGACUUAUUUACCAUUUUUGGGUGUUAGAAGUUAGAAAAUUUUACAUGAUGUGGAUAACAUCAGAAUACAAUUCAAAGUAGUGGGCUAUAAUUUAUUCAUUAAAACCUUACUUAUAUAUCAACAAGAAAAAUUAUUCGUAAGACGAUUGAGUCAGCCUCUACUUGGUAGUUGGUUCUAAUCUCAUUGCCAUUGCUUCGGUGCAUCAACCUUAAGAGUGUGGAAACCAUAAAUUGGUUUGCGAGUGCGCAAAAUCGUGGAAUUGCUAAAGUACUAAGAUGAUCAAUAUUAAUACAUUCGAGUUUUUUCUAGAGUUCUUUGGCUGAUGACAGAUUCUGCACAUUCGCAAGAACAUUCUUUGCCAAACAUAGACGAAUCGCACUUGUAACUCUCAAAUCUAGUCCCUCCCACUUAUCGGCCUCCAUGUUGGAAGUGUUUCCUUUCAGCGCCUUGUGUAAUUCUGAUUGUUUCAACACAUACUUGACUUGUGCUUUCCACAAGUCAAAGUUGAUUAUUCCAUCAAACUUCUCUAUGUCAAAUUUGAUUGCGCAUGAAUAAAACACAUCAGCUGCACAGUACCACCCUUCUUUAGCACCUUCACAAUAUCACUUUUUUUUUUUUUAUGUGAAGAUCAGACAAUGCUGCAACCACAUAACAUACUAAGACUUAUGAUAUCUCACCAACCAGAAGCUCUUGAUACAACUGUUAAGAAAUAACAGAGCUGAAGAAGAAAAAUAAGCAUAAUCAUAACACAAGAAUAUAACGUGGAAACUUCAAAAUUGGAGAAAAAAUCAUGAUCGUUGUCUAAACCGACAACCAAAGAAUUAUUACUAUGUAAUUUUUUUUACAACACAUAGACUUCUCUCAUUCUCACCCCAAUGCCCCACUACAGCAUCACUCUCACAAAACAAAUAUUUAAACUAAGUCAGAUAUAAGUUUAAAGUGGUACUAAUUGGUGCGUCUAAAAACAAAGAAAUCUAGGUCCAAUACAUGAUCUUGUCUUUCCCAUGCUUCACCAUACUAAGUGACGUAGGACUUCUCCAAUAGCUAACAAUUGAACCCAACACUAUAAACUUGACAAUCAGAUUCAAAUGAGAAGAGAGAGAAAAUAAGGGUCAAAAGAUUGAACCAAUUGCAGCAAAAAAUCCAUUUUAUAUAGUUGUGUCCAAACAAACUAAAUUACUUUUUUUUUUUUUGAUAAAAAAAAAAUAAUUUUUAUCACGGUAAACAAACGUAAAAUAAAUUCUGAUUUUUUCUUUAUAAAAUCUCUAAAAAAUAAUUUUUAAAUUAUUCAAUGUAAAAAUCACUUUUAUCUUAAUCUAUAACAAGAGACUCUUAUUAGUUUAAAAUACGAAUAUAGAAAAAAAAAUACAUUAAAUUGUGAAUUAUUGUAGAAACCCCAUGUAUCAACACGUCAACUAGCUAACGGAUGUCUAUAUAUGUCUGUAUAUGCCUAGUUUGAACUUCAUUUAUAGGUUUUAAUAAAAUAUUAUUUUUGUUCUCAAUUAUUGUACUGUUUUAAAAUUUACUUUUCACUAAAAAAAAAAAUAGUAAAAGACUACUAUUAGACCAUUUUUUAGAGGUUCAUACUAGGUAUAAGUUACAAGUUAGUUGUGUGUUACGAGUUUUUGUGUUGUAAACAUAAGUUACAAAGUUCAAAUAUCAUAUUCUUCAAUUAUUUUUUUAAUUUUUAGUUUUGGUAAUAGUGGACCUUUUUUUUCUUCAAGCAAUUCAAGGUUUAAUUAGAAUUUCAAUAUUCAGAUGAAUAAGUGAGAAAUCUAAGUCUAAAGACCCACUUUUGAUAUAUAAUACAAUGUCUUUACCGACUGAGCUAGACUGAGGAGAAUAAUUUCAUUUAUAAUUCUUUUUCAUCUUCUCCAUAAUACUUUUUUUCUUCCAUAUUGGUCUUUUAAUCUCAAAUAAAAUAAAGUCUUGUGUCAAUCGACAUUCUAUUCUCAUCUCAACUCUAAACCUUCCAAAAUUAAGUUAACAAGAAAUUUAGUUUUUCAAUUUUGUAUAAGUUAAAAUUUCCCCCUUUUAUUAUAUUUCAUAUAAAUAAACAAUUUAAGAAUUUAAUGUUUAAUUUUAUAUAAAUAAAGAACACAUAAUUUGGUAAGUCAUUUCUCAUUUUUGUAAGUAUUUCCAUAUAAUUUUUGCAUGAUCUGAUCAUGUCAUGCACUGUAAUCAAACACCACCGUUUACAUGGAGUAUAAUUUAGAUAAGUUACGUGUUAAAUAAUGACGAGAGAUCAGCAGAGAAUACUGAAUAGCAUGACCGUCAAUUAUUGAUAUCUAUGCAUGCAUGAGUGUUUGUGUCAUGACUCAUCAUCUUCCUUUCUUUACCUUUAUGAAGGAGAGUCACCUUUAGCCCACCAGGUUGUGUAGGGUGAUCUUGUCUCCUGAUUCUCAUGGUUGAUUGUGAUCUUGUUGAUAAUUUAUUAGGGGACUAAUUAUCAAUAUUAAUGCUUAUAUAAACUAAUGUUAAAAGCUUGGUAUCCCACUUAGGUUGACCUAGUGGUAUUGGUUUGGGAUCUGGGAGUGUGCUCCUCUUUAAAGUCUCUUAAAAAAAAUGUUACAAGCUUGUUUUGAUAUCUGAUCGUGCGAUUUUGGCUCUUAUUUUUUGAGCCAUUUUGACACAUAAAAUUUUUUACUCUUUGUUUUUCAACGUUAAAAACUAUCAUUUUUACCGGCAAUUUAUCCUUUAUCCUUUAUCUUUCUAUAUUUUGUUUUUUUACUGGCCUUUCAUUAGGUUAAUAGUUUUUGAAACAUCCAUGAUUCAUAUUUAACAUUAUUUGAAGAAGUUAAGAAACUCGUGAGGCAUAGUUGCUUUCUUUCUUUAACUUGAUUGCUUUUUAAAAAAGAAAAUUUUGUUGAAAACUAUUAGUCAAACUAUCACACCACUUCCUAUAUCUUACACCAUUCGGUCACUAUUAAUAGAUUAUAUAUAUCAUUUAUUGAAUGAACCUAAAAAAUAUAUUUUUAUUUAUAAUAUUAUAAUAGUGACUGGAAUGUGUAAUAGAUAUUUUAUAUUGUCUCAUUUAUUUUCUUUCAUUCUUUCUUCCAAUCCUUGCAAGAACAGCUCUAUAUAUAUAUAUAGCUAGCCAAUACCAACGUUCCAUCAUACCACAUCUAUCUAAUCAUUAACAAUCAUCAUCCAAUAAUAAGAUGAAGAUUACUCCUAUACUUUUCCUUUUCACUCUCCUCUCAUCCACCACUUCCUAUGCUUCUGUUCAUGAUUUUUGUGUAGGAGAUAUAAAAGCUCCAGAAACACCUACAGGCUAUCACUGCAUGCCUCUUGCAAACAUCACAUCGGACGAUUUCGUCUUUCACGGCUUUGUAGCCGGAAACACUAACAACUCUUUCAACGCUGCACUUACCUCGGCGUUUGUCACCGAUUUUCCAGCUCUUAACGAUCUUGGAAUCUCCGCGGCGCGGUUAGACAUAGCAAAAGGCGGAUCUAUUCCAAUGCAUACUCAUCCUGGCGCUACCGAAUUAUUGAUUAUGGUUCAUGGUGAAAUAACUGCUGGGUUUCUAACAACUACUGCAGUUUAUUCAAAAACGUUGAAACCGGGUGAUCUUAUGGUUUUUCCCCAAGGGAUGUUGCAUUUUCAAGUUAAUUCUGGUAAGGGAAAAGCUACUGCUUUUCUUACUUUUAGUAGUGCAAAUCCUGGUG